CUUUUCUGUUAAAAAAAAAGCCAAGUAUUUUACAUAUGGUUUUUGUUGUCAAACAUUGCUCAAGGGAAAAACGGUACCUGCAAUCACAGCUGAUAGAGGAAAAGCAUAGGCAUGGACCUUUUUCAGGUGGUUUGUGAGAUUAAAAGCUGACUAGCUCCUAAAAAGAGGUACAAUAUUAAGCAUCUAGCAUCUUUCCGUUCACUGAGGCGGCAGAGAUAUAAAAGUGUUCUUGCAAUCAUAAACAGAGACUCAUGAAGUCCUUCACAGAAAUGUAGGUGAAAAAAUAAAUGCGUUGAGAGGCUCCGGUUUGCUGUUGGCGAGCGAGCAGUAAAGUCAGGAAUUUUUGGCUGUUGCUCAGUUUCUGUGAACAAAAGUCA
Molecule: long non-coding RNA, 377 nt
Filed under: Elaeis guineensis (African oil palm)
Lineage: Eukaryota; Viridiplantae; Streptophyta; Magnoliopsida; Arecales; Arecaceae
Description: long non-coding RNA (EGUI_LNC021813)
Source: RNAcentral